UGGAAGUAAAAGUCGUAACAAGGUUUCCGUAGGUGAACCUGCGGAAGGAUCAUUACCGAGUGCGGGCCCUCGCGGCCCAACCUCCCACCCUUGUCUCUAAUACACCUGUUGCUUUGGCGGGCCCACCGGGGCCACCUGGUCGCCGGGGGACGCACGUCCCCGGGCCCGCGCCCGCCGAAGCGCUCUGUGAACCCUGAUGAAGAUGGGCUGUCUGAGUACUGUGAAAAAUUGUCAAAACUUUCAACAAUGGAUCUCUUGGUUCCGGCAUCGAUGAAGAACGCAGCGAAAUGCGAUAAGUAAUGUGAAUUGCAGAAUUCCGUGAAUCAUCGAAUCUUUGAACGCACAUUGCGCCCCCUGGCAUUCCGGGGGGCAUGCCUGUCCGAGCGUCAUUUCUGCCCUCAAGCACGGCUUGUGUGUUGGGUCUGGUCCCCCCGGGGACCUGCCCGAAAGGCAGCGGCGACGUCCGUCUGGUCCUCGAGCGUAUGGGGCUCUGUCACUCGCUCAAGGGAAGGACCUGCGGGGGUUGGUCACCACCAUGUUUUACCACGGUUGACCUCGGAUCAGGUAGGAGUUACCCGCUGAACUUAAGCAUAUCAAUAAGCGGAGGA
This 608-nucleotide ribosomal RNA is filed under the name Penicillium sp. BMP2893. RNAcentral describes it as "eukaryotic LSU rRNA". The stretch from base 236 to 389 matches the Rfam family "5.8S ribosomal RNA". Lineage: Eukaryota; Fungi; Ascomycota; Eurotiomycetes; Eurotiales; Aspergillaceae. The record is from RNAcentral.